RNAcentral lists this ribosomal RNA (205 nucleotides) under uncultured bacterium. RNAcentral's name for it is "partial 16S ribosomal RNA". It matches the Rfam family "Bacterial small subunit ribosomal RNA", at positions 568 to 773 of the family's 1533-position model. The record is from RNAcentral.
UGCGUAGGCGGUCCGAUAAGUCUGAUGUGAAAGCCCUGGGCUCAACUCAGGAACUGCAUUGGAAACUGACGGACUGGAGUACCGGAGAGGGAAGCGGAAUUCCUGGUGUAGCGGUGAAAUGCGUAGAUACCAGGAGGAACACCGGUGGCGAAAGCGGUUUCCUGGCCGAGUACUGACGCUGAGGCACGAAAGCGUGGGAGCAACG